RNAcentral lists this long non-coding RNA (539 nucleotides) under Pongo abelii (Sumatran orangutan). RNAcentral describes it as "lincRNA". The record is from RNAcentral. Lineage: Eukaryota; Metazoa; Chordata; Mammalia; Primates; Hominidae.
AGCAGUUUAUGGAGUUGAGCACACAGGCAGGUGCUGGACCAGAAACGACACACUUUUCCAGGCUUGGCUCGGGGUCUUCAUGAUGCUUUAAAGUUUGAUGGUCUGGAGCGGAAAUGCCAGAGCAACCUGCAGGUGAUAAAGAAGAACAGGUCAUACAGUUAGAAGUCCAAAAUCAAGGUGUCCGCUGGGUUGGUUCCUUCUGAGGGCCCUGCUGGAGAAACUGAUCCAUGCCUCUCUCCUAGCUUCUGGUGGUUGCUUGCAAUCUUUGGAGUUCCCAGCUUGUAGCUGCAUCACUCCAAUAUCUGCCUCCAUCUUCACAUGGCACUCUCUUUUGUGCGUAUGUGUCUCCUCUGUGUCCAUCUCCAAAUCUUUAUAAGGACAUUGCCAUUCAGGACUAGGGCCCACUCUAAUCUAGGAUGUCCUCAUUUUAGUUUGAUUACAUAUGUAAAAACCCUACUUCCAAAUACUGUUCAUAGGUACAGAUGUUAGGAUUUCAAAAUAUAUUUUUGAGAGAUGCAAUUCAAACCACAUAACCCAAU